ACCUUUCCGUCUCCUUCCCCAUUAGAUCUAAAAAUUGGUCUGAGUGGCUGUGGAAGAAGGAAGAGUAAAACUGAAACCACUUGAUUGUGGCAUGCCAGUUGGUUUCCAACAAAC
This 114-nucleotide small nucleolar RNA is filed under the name Echinops telfairi (small Madagascar hedgehog). RNAcentral describes it as "Small nucleolar RNA SNORA61 (ENSETEG00000025551.1)". Lineage: Eukaryota; Metazoa; Chordata; Mammalia; Afrosoricida; Tenrecidae. The record is from RNAcentral.